This 253-nucleotide ribosomal RNA is filed under the name uncultured bacterium. RNAcentral describes it as "partial 16S ribosomal RNA". It matches the Rfam family "Bacterial small subunit ribosomal RNA", at positions 524 to 776 of the family's 1533-position model. The record is from RNAcentral.
UACGAAGGGGGCUAGCGUUGUUCGGAAUUACUGGGCGUAAAGCGCACGUAGGCGGCUCUUUAAGUCGGGGGUGAAAUCCUGAGGCUCAACCUCAGAACUGCCUUCGAUACUGGCAAUCUCGAGUCCGGAAGAGGUUGGUGGAACAGCUAGUGUAGAGGUGAAAUUCGUAGAUAUUAGCUAGAACACCAGUGGCGAAGGCGGCCAACUGGUCCGGUACUGACGCUGAGGUGCGAAAGCGUGGGGAGCAAACAGG